AAUAAACAAUAUAAAAAUUAGAGUAAACAGAUGUAUUUCAAUGUACAUUUAUGCUAUUACCUACAUUUACCGUUAGACCUUAAUGCACUGGAGCCCAGAACACUUUGCUAAAAUUUUAGCUCAAUACAUUGAUAGGUUGGUAUAUAUUGAAAACUAACCAGCAGGAGCAAUUAGCCUAUUCAAAUGUUUAAGACUUUUCAGAGUCAGGAUAUAUAAUCUAUGUUGCAUUUCCAAGACGAUUCGAGUUCCCAGUUGUGUAAGCUGCUAUAACAUCUCCUUAUCUGCAGACAAGAAGGAUAUAAUCUAUAGUCUUCUGUCAU
RNAcentral lists this unclassified non-coding RNA (320 nucleotides) under Hevea brasiliensis (rubber tree). The record is from RNAcentral. Lineage: Eukaryota; Viridiplantae; Streptophyta; Magnoliopsida; Malpighiales; Euphorbiaceae.